UACGAAGGGGGCUAGCGUUGUUCGGAUUUACUGGGCGUAAAGCGCACGUAGGCGGAUCGUUAAGUUGGGGGUGAAAUCCUGGAGCUCAACUCCAGAACUGCCUUCAAUACUGGCAAUCUAGAGUCCGGAAGAGGUGAGUGGAACUCCUAGUGUAGAGGUGGAAUUCGUAGAUAUUAGGAAGAACACCAGUGGCGAAGGCGGCACACUGGUCCGGUACUGACGCUGAUGCGCGAAAGCGUGGGGAGCAAACAGG
Molecule: ribosomal RNA, 253 nt
Filed under: uncultured bacterium
Lineage: Bacteria
Description: partial 16S ribosomal RNA
Rfam family: Bacterial small subunit ribosomal RNA
Source: RNAcentral